Molecule: non-coding RNA, 208 nt
Organism: Pelobates cultripes (western spadefoot toad)
Lineage: Eukaryota; Metazoa; Chordata; Amphibia; Anura; Pelobatidae
Source: the annotation of a GenBank genome assembly
AUUCUUACCCCAUCUGCUGUUCGCCUACAGAGAGGUACCUCAAGAGUCCACUGGGUUUUCCCCCUUUGAAUAAUUUUUGGGGAGAAGGGUGAGAGUACCCCUAGACUUAAUUAGAGAGCAUUGGGAAGGGGAAAGCAGUGCAGAUGGGAUACUCAGCACUUUACAGGUUACAUUACAGUAGAGGGAGGUAGUGCAGUAGGUAUACAGU